RNAcentral lists this ribosomal RNA (301 nucleotides) under uncultured bacterium. RNAcentral's name for it is "partial 16S ribosomal RNA". It matches the Rfam family "Bacterial small subunit ribosomal RNA", at positions 509 to 807 of the family's 1533-position model. The record is from RNAcentral.
CAGCCGCCACGGUAAUACGAAGGGUGCAAGCGUUAAUCGGAAUUACUGGGCGUAAAGCGCACGUAGGCGGCUUGGUAAGUUAGAGGUGAAAGCCCGGAGCUCAACUCCGGAAUUGCCUUUAAGACUGCCGAGCUAGUAGGUGAGAGAGGUAAGUGGAAUUCCGAGUGUAGAGGUGAAAUUCGUAGAUAUUCGGAAGAACACCAGUGGCGAAGGCGGCUUACUGGCUCAUUCUAGACGCUGAGGUGCGAAAGCGUGGGGAGCAAACAGGAUUAGAUACCCCGGUAGUCCCUGUCUCUUAUAC